RNAcentral lists this transfer RNA (65 nucleotides) under Gari togata. RNAcentral describes it as "tRNA-Pro". Lineage: Eukaryota; Metazoa; Mollusca; Bivalvia; Cardiida; Psammobiidae. The record is from RNAcentral.
CAGUGGGUAGUUUAAGCGUAGAAUAGAGGCUUUGGGUGCCUCAGGUCUUUGGUAAAGCUUGCUGA